ACAAGCGGAGGAACAUGUGGUUUAAUUCGAUGAUACGCGAGGAACCUUACCUGGGCUUAAAUGUAGAGUGCAUUUUUAGAGAUAGAAAUUCCCUUCGGGGCUUUCUGCAAGGUGCUGCAUGGUUGUCGUCAGCUCGUGUCGUAAGAUGUUCGGUUAAGUCCGCUAACGAGCGCAACCCUCGUCGUAUGUUAUAUGUGUCAUACGAGACUGCCGGUAAAAGCCGGAGGAAGGUGAGGAUGAUGUCAAGUCAGCAUGACCUUUAUAUCCAGGGCUACACACACGCUACAAUGGUCUGUACAAUGGGUAGCCAAGCCGCGAGGCGGAGCCAAUCCUGAAAGCAGGCCUCAGUUCAGAUUGCAGUCUGCAACUCGACUGCAUGAAGCCGGAGUUGCUAGUAACCGCAGGUCAGCAAUACUGCGGUGAAUACGUUCCCGGGUCUU
Molecule: ribosomal RNA, 440 nt
Filed under: uncultured Anaerolineaceae bacterium
Lineage: Bacteria; Bacillati; Chloroflexota; Anaerolineae; Anaerolineales; Anaerolineaceae
Description: bacterial SSU rRNA
Rfam family: Bacterial small subunit ribosomal RNA
Source: RNAcentral